CGAAAGUCGGAAACGAGGCUAAGAUUGGGCGAGCACUCCAUAUCCAGGUAGGGUGAGCUGUCCCUUCCUUGUUAGAGGCUUUUCUAUAUGUGGAAUGCUCUAGUAUAUUAAUAUGUUGCCUGCAAGUACGUUUUUGGUUGUUCAUUAGUCGAUGCCUCGUGAUACAUAUGUUUUCAGAACUGAUAAUGGCUAAUUGCGAAAACCGAGGCUAGACUUGCAUGUUGAGAUACUGUACCCUUGUAUGUUUAUACUUGUGACCUGAAAGUGAAUGGGACCUAGACGCUUAGAUUCCUAGGGAUCCCACGGUGUCGAUAACCGUGAACCUCCGGAGGGGGCCGUGCUCCUAUGUUUGUCGAGGAAAGAUGGUAUAGACAGUGAACCAGUCAUAGGAGACUCAGGGCCAGGAAAUGGACACUUUCGCUACUUGUAGUCGGAAGUACUACAGAGUAGUUGGCCGGUUCUCGAAUUCAGGACGAACCAGGUCGGUCACUGAUUUGUUUUAUAUUAGCCGGCAGGUAAGUAUCUCGGAGCUCC
RNAcentral lists this long non-coding RNA (534 nucleotides) under Rosa chinensis. Its description in RNAcentral is "sRNA RchiOBHm_Chr4g0389061". Lineage: Eukaryota; Viridiplantae; Streptophyta; Magnoliopsida; Rosales; Rosaceae. The record is from RNAcentral.